Molecule: ribosomal RNA, 424 nt
Filed under: uncultured prokaryote
Description: bacterial SSU rRNA
Rfam family: Bacterial small subunit ribosomal RNA
Source: RNAcentral
UGGGGAAUAUUGGACAAUGGGGGCAACCCUGAUCCAGCCAUGCCGCGUGCGUGAAGAAGGCCUUAGGGUUGUAAAGCGCUUUCACUGGUGAAGAUGAUGACGGUAGCCAGAGAAGAAGCCCCGGCUAACUCCGUGCCAGCAGCCGCGGUAAUACGGAGGGUGCGAGCGUUAAUCGGAAUUACUGGGCGUAAAGCGUACGCAGGCGGUUUGUUAAGCGAGAUGUGAAAGCCCCGGGCUCAACCUGGGAACUGCAUUUCGAACUGGCAAACUAGAGUGUGAUAGAGGGUGGUAGAAUUUCAGGUGUAGCGGUGAAAUGCGUAGAGAUCUGAAGGAAUACCGAUGGCGAAGGCAGCCACCUGGGUCAACACUGACGCUCAUGUACGAAAGCGUGGGGAGCAAACAGGAUUAGAUACCCCGGUAGUCC